CAUAUUUCAGCUCUUCGACAAAUAAAGCCGACGCGUAAUGCGAUAAAGAGCGUCACGCUUCUCACCUAAUAAGAGAUGUGUUUGGACCACACAGAGCUCUGGGACGUGUGGACAGACAUUCGCUGUAAUGAAGGACAUCUGCUCAUGGACAGAAGCAUAACCGCUGCUGGACAUUGCUCUGGGACUCAGGGGGGGACCCGAAUCAUCCUCACCCCUUCAUUCACACAACACUCACUCAUAUCGCAGAGAUCUGGCUGGGAUCGAACCAGCAACCUCUGAACCAUGAGGCAGUGCUCUUACCUGUGAGCCACAGAUCUCUUAUUUGAACAUGU
Sinocyclocheilus anshuiensis is the source of this 332-nucleotide long non-coding RNA. RefSeq lists it as uncharacterized. NCBI's taxonomy places the organism in Eukaryota, Metazoa, Chordata, Actinopteri, Cypriniformes, Cyprinidae. The record is from RefSeq and is a predicted model, not a curated record. The transcript is spliced from 3 exons.